Molecule: transfer RNA, 69 nt
Filed under: Eopsaltria australis (eastern yellow robin)
Lineage: Eukaryota; Metazoa; Chordata; Aves; Passeriformes; Petroicidae
Also listed under: 2 other names
Description: tRNA-Asp
Source: RNAcentral
GAAGUGUUAGUAAAACAAUUACAUAGCCUUGUCAAGGCUAAAUUACGAGUGAAACCCUCGUACACCUCA